This 253-nucleotide ribosomal RNA is filed under the name uncultured bacterium. Its description in RNAcentral is "partial 16S ribosomal RNA". It matches the Rfam family "Bacterial small subunit ribosomal RNA", at positions 524 to 776 of the family's 1533-position model. The record is from RNAcentral.
UACAUAGGGGGCAAGCGUUAUCCGGAAUUAUUGGGUGUAAAGGGUGCGUAGACGGAGAAACAAGUUGGUUGUGAAAUCCCUCGGCUCAACCGAGGAACUGCAACCAAAACUAUUUCCCUUGAGUGUCGGAGAGGAAAGUGGAAUUCCUAGUGUAGCGGUGAAAUGCGUAGAUAUUAGGAGGAACACCAGUGGCGAAGGCGACUUUCUGGACGAUAACUGACGUUGAGGCACGAAAGUGUGGGGAGCAAACAGG